RNAcentral lists this microRNA precursor (61 nucleotides) under Xenopus laevis (African clawed frog). Its description in RNAcentral is "microRNA xla-mir-26 precursor (xla-mir-26-1)". Its record names the gene xla-mir-26-1. It matches the Rfam family "mir-26 microRNA precursor family", at positions 9 to 68 of the family's 81-position model. Rfam says of the family: The hairpin precursors (represented here) are predicted based on base pairing and cross-species conservation -- their extents are not known. The record is from miRBase by way of RNAcentral. Lineage: Eukaryota; Metazoa; Chordata; Amphibia; Anura; Pipidae.
UUCAAGUAAUCCAGGAUAGGCUGUUUCCCCAAAGUACGGCCUACUCUUGAUUACUUGUUUC